GAUGAACGCUGGCGGCGUGCUUAACACAUGCAAGUCGAACGGGAAACCUUUUAAUGAAGCUUCGGCAGAUUUAGCUGGUUUCUAGUGGCGGACGGGUGAGUAACGCGUGGGUAACCUGCCUUAUACAGGGGGAUAACAGUCAGAAAUGACUGCUAAUACCGCAUAAGCGCACAGGACCGCAUGGUCCGGUGUGAAAAACUCCGGUGGUAUAAGAUGGACCCGCGUUGGAUUAGCUUGUUGGUGGGGUAACGGCUCACCAAGGCGACGAUCCAUAGCCGGCCUGAGAGGGUGAACGGCCACAUUGGGACUGAGACACGGCCCAGACUCCUACGGGAGGCAGCAGUGGGGAAUAUUGCACAAUGGGGGAAACCCUGAUGCAGCGACGCCGCGUGAAGGAAGAAGUAUCUCGGUAUGUAAACUUCUAUCAGCAGGGAAGAUAGUGACGGUGCCUGACUAAGAAGCCCCGGCUAACUACGUG
This 478-nucleotide ribosomal RNA is filed under the name uncultured bacterium. RNAcentral's name for it is "partial 16S ribosomal RNA". It matches the Rfam family "Bacterial small subunit ribosomal RNA", at positions 28 to 507 of the family's 1533-position model. The record is from RNAcentral.